Molecule: ribosomal RNA, 925 nt
Filed under: uncultured Chryseobacterium sp.
Lineage: Bacteria; Pseudomonadati; Bacteroidota; Flavobacteriia; Flavobacteriales; Weeksellaceae
Description: bacterial SSU rRNA
Rfam family: Bacterial small subunit ribosomal RNA
Source: RNAcentral
UCCCGGAUUUAUUGGGUUUAAAGGGUCCGUAGGCGGAUCUGUAAGUCAGUGGUGGAAUCUCACAGCUUAACUGUGAAACUGCCAUUGAUACUGCAGGUCUUGAGUGUUGUUGAAGUAGCUGGAAUAAGUAGUGUAGCGGUGAAAUGCAUAGAUAUUACUUAGAACACCAAUUGCGAAGGCAGGUUACUAAGCAACAACUGACGCUGAUGGACGAAAGCGUGGGGAGCGAACAGGAUUAGAUACCCUGGUAGUCCACGCCGUAAACGAUGCUAACUCGUUUUUGGUUUUUCGGAAUCAGAGACUAAGCGAAAGUGAUAAGUUAGCCACCUGGGGAGUACGUUCGCAAGAAUGAAACUCAAAGGAAUUGACGGGGGCCCGCACAAGCGGUGGAUUAUGUGGUUUAAUUCGAUGAUACGCGAGGAACCUUACCAAGGCUUAAAUGGGAAAUGACAGGUUUAGAAAUAGACUUUUCUUCGGACAUUUUUCAAGGUGCUGCAUGGUUGUCGUCAGCUCGUGCCGUGGGGUGUUAGGUUAAGUCCUGCAACGAGCGCAACCCCUGUCACUAGUUGCCAUCAUUAAGUUGGGGACUCUAGUGAGACUGCCUACGCAAGUAGAGAGGAAGGUGGGGAUGACGUCAAAUCAUCACGGCCCUUACGCCUUGGGCCACACACGUAAUACAAUGGCCAGUACAGAGGGCAGCUACACAGCGAUGUGAUGCAAAUCUCGAAAGCUGGUCUCAGUUCGGAUUGGAGUCUGCAACUCGACUCUAUGAAGCUGGAAUCGCUAGUAAUCGCGCAUCAGCCAUGGCGCGGUGAAUACGUUCCCGGGCCUUGUACACACCGCCCGUCAAGCCAUGGAAGUCUGGGGUACCUGAAGUCGGUGACCGUAACAGGAGCUGCCUAGGGUAAAACAGGUAACUAGGGCU